RNAcentral lists this ribosomal RNA (119 nucleotides) under Pteropus alecto (black flying fox). Lineage: Eukaryota; Metazoa; Chordata; Mammalia; Chiroptera; Pteropodidae. The record is from RNAcentral.
GUCUACGGCCAUGCUACCCUUAACAAGCCUAAUCCUGUCUAAUCUCGGAAGCUAAGCAGGGUCAAGCCUGGUUAGUACUUAAAUGGGAGACCACCUGGGAAGACCAGAUGCUGUAGGAG